AGCGAACGCUGGCGGCAGGCCUAACACAUGCAAGUCGAACGGGCAUAGCAAUAUGUCAGUGGCAGACGGGUGAGUAACGCGUGGGAACGUACCUUUUGGUUCGGAACAACACAGGGAAACUUGUGCUCAUACCGGAUAAGCUCUUACGGGGUAAGAUUUAUCGCCGUAAGAUCGGCGCGAGUCUGAUUAGCUAGUUGGUAGGUUAAUGGCCUACCAAGGCGACGAUCAGUAGCUGGUCUGAGAGGAUGAUCAGCCACAUUGGGACUGAGACACGGCCCAAACUCCUACGGGAGGCAGCAGUGGGGAAUAGUGGAAAAUGGGCGGAGGCCUGAUCGAGCCAUGCCGCGUGAGUGAUGAAGGCCGUAGAGUAGUAAAGCUCUAUUAUGCAGGAAGAUAAUGACGGUACCGAAAGAAUAAGCCCCGGCUAACUUCGUG
Molecule: ribosomal RNA, 435 nt
Filed under: uncultured bacterium
Lineage: Bacteria
Description: partial 16S ribosomal RNA
Rfam family: Bacterial small subunit ribosomal RNA
Source: RNAcentral